RNAcentral lists this ribosomal RNA (1280 nucleotides) under uncultured bacterium. RNAcentral's name for it is "bacterial SSU rRNA". It matches the Rfam family "Bacterial small subunit ribosomal RNA", at positions 88 to 1399 of the family's 1533-position model. The record is from RNAcentral.
GGUGAGAGUAGCGGACGGGCGAGUAACGCGUGAGUAACCUGCCCUUUGCAGGGGGAUAACAUCGGGAAACCGGUGCUAAUACCGCAUAAUACCAUCGAAUCGCAUGGUUUGAUGGUCAAAGCUGCGGCGGCAAAGGAUGGACUCGCGUCCAAUUAGCUAGUUGGUAGGGUAAAGGCCUACCAAGGCGACGAUUGGUAUCCGAACUGAGAGGUUGAUCGGACGCAAUGGAACUGAAACACGGUCCAUACACCUACGGGUGGCAGCAGUAGGGAAUAUUAGAAAUGGGCGAAAGCCUGAUCUAGCAACACCGCGUGUGCGAUGAAGACCUUCGGGUUGUAAAGCACUUUUUGGAGGGAAUAGGAAGGAAGGUACCUCCAGAAUAAGUCUCGGCUAACUACGUGCCAGCAGCCGCGGUAACACGUAGGAGGCAAACGUUAUCCGGAUUCACUGGGCGUAAAGCGCGUGUAGGUGGUUCUGUAAGUAGGGCGUGAAAGCUCCCGGCUCAACUGGGAGAGGCCGUACUAAACUGCAGAGCUAGAGGAUGGUAGAGGGAGGUGGAAUUCCAGGUGUAGUGGUGAAAUGCGCAGAUAUCUGGAGGAACACCAGUGGCGAAGGCGGCCUCCUGGACCAUUCCUGACACUCAGACGCGAAAGCUAGGGUAGCAAACGGAAUUAGAGACUCCGGUAGUCCUAGCCCUAAACGAUGCAGACUAGGCGUCGGCGGUUUAAUCACCGUCGGUGUCCAAGCUAACGCGAUAAGUCUGCCGCCUGAGGACUACGGCCGCAAGGCUAAAACUCAAAGGAAUUGACGGGUCCCCGCACAAGCAGCGGAGCGUGUGGUUUAAUUCGAUGCUCCGCGAAGAACCUUACCUGGGUUUGACAUAACAGUGGUAGAGAAGUGAAAACGGAUCGACCCUUCGGGGAGCUGUUACAGGUGUUGCAUGCCUGUCGUCAGCUCGUGUCGUGAGAUGUUCGGUUAAGUCCGCUAACGAGCGCAACCCGCGCUGUGUGUUACAAGUGUCACACAGUACCGCCGGUAUUAAGUCGGAGGAAGGUGCGGAUGACGUCAAGUCAGCAUGACCUUUAUAUCCAGGGCUACACACACGCUACAAUGGUCAGAACAAUAGGUUGCCAAGCCGCAAGGCGGAGCCAAUCCUCCAAAUCUGGCCUCAGUUCAGAUUGCAGGCUGCAACUCGCCUGCAUGAAGUCGGAGUUGCUAGUAACCGCAGGUCAGCAUACUGCGGUGAAUACGUUCCCGGGGAUUGUACUCACCGCCCGUCA